This 497-nucleotide ribosomal RNA is filed under the name uncultured bacterium. RNAcentral's name for it is "partial 16S ribosomal RNA". It matches the Rfam family "Bacterial small subunit ribosomal RNA", at positions 28 to 507 of the family's 1533-position model. The record is from RNAcentral.
GAUGAACGCUGGCGGCGUGCCUAAUACAUGCAAGUCGAGCGAACAGAUGAGGAGCUUGCUCCUCUGACGUUAGCGGCGGACGGGUGAGUAACACGUGGAUAACCUACCUAUAAGACUGGGAUAACUUCGGGAAACCGGAGCUAAUACCGGAUAAUAUAUUGAACCGCAUGGUUCAAUAGUGAAAGACGGUUUUGCUGUCACUUAUAGAUGGAUCCGCGCCGCAUUAGCUAGUUGGUAAGGUAACGGCUUACCAAGGCAACGAUGCGUAGCCGACCUGAGAGGGUGAUCGGCCACACUGGAACUGAGACACGGUCCAGACUCCUACGGGAGGCAGCAGUAGGGAAUCUGCCGCAAUGGGCGAAAGCCUGGCGGAGCAACGCCGCGUGAGUGAUGAAGGUCUUCGGAUCGUAAAACUCUGUUAUUAGGGAAGAACAAAUGUGUAAGUAACUAUGCACGUCUUGACGGUACCUAAUCAGAAAGCCACGGCUAACUACGUG